GGGAUUGUAGUUCAAUGGUUAGAGCACCUCCCUGUCACGGAGGAAGUUGCGGGUUCGAGUCCCGUCGGUCCCG
Molecule: transfer RNA, 73 nt
Filed under: Chlamydomonas peterfii
Lineage: Eukaryota; Viridiplantae; Chlorophyta; Chlorophyceae; Chlamydomonadales; Chlamydomonadaceae
Also listed under: 1 other name
Description: tRNA-Asp
Rfam family: tRNA
About the family: Transfer RNA (tRNA) molecules are approximately 80 nucleotides in length. Their secondary structure includes four short double-helical elements and three loops (D, anti-codon, and T loops).
Source: RNAcentral